GAUGAACGCUAGCGGCAGGCCUAACACAUGCAAGUCGAGGGGUAGCAGGAUUAAGCUUGCUUAAUUGCUGACGACCGGCGCACGGGUGCGUAACGCGUACGCAACCUACCUUAUACUGGGGUAUAGACAGGAGAAAUUCGGAUUAAUCCCCCAUAGUACUAAUGAAUCGCAUGGUGUAUUAGUUAAAGCAUUGCGGUAUAAGAUGGGCAUGCGUCCUAUUAGCUAGAUGGUGAGGUAACGGCUCACCAUGGCUACGAUAGGUAGGGGGCCUGAGAGGGUGGUCCCCCACACUGGUACUGAGACACGGACCAGACUCCUACGGGAGGCAGCAGUGAGGAAUAUUGGUCAAUGGGCGCAAGCCUGAACCAGCCAUGCCGCGUGCAGGAAGAAUGCCCUAUGGGUUGUAAACUGCUUUUAUUUGGGAAUAAACCUCUUUACGUGUAGAGAGCUGAAGGUACCAAAUGAAUAAGCACCGGCUAACUCCGUGCCAGCCGCCGCCGUAA
This 503-nucleotide ribosomal RNA is filed under the name uncultured bacterium. RNAcentral's name for it is "partial 16S ribosomal RNA". It matches the Rfam family "Bacterial small subunit ribosomal RNA", at positions 28 to 523 of the family's 1533-position model. The record is from RNAcentral.